GACGAACGCUGGCGGCGUGCUUAACACAUGCAAGUCGAACGGAAAGGCCCUGCUUUUGUGGGGUGCUCGAGUGGCGAACGGGUGAGUAACACGUGAGUAACCUGCCCUUGACUUUGGGAUAACUUCAGGAAACUGGGGCUAAUACCGGAUAGGAGCUCCUGCUGCAUGGUGGGGGUUGGAAAGUUUCGGCGGUUGGGGAUGGACUCGCGGCUUAUCAGCUUGUUGGUGGGGUAGUGGCUUACCAAGGCUUUGACGGGUAGCCGGCCUGAGAGGGUGACCGGACACAUUGGGACUGAGAUGCGGCCCAGACUCCUACGGGAGGCAGAAGUGGGGAAUAUUGCACAAUGGGAGGAAGCCUGAUGCAGCAACGCCGCGUGCGGGAUGACGGCCUUCGGGUUGUAAACCGCUUUCGCCUGUGACGAAGCGUGAGUGACGGUAAUGGGUAAAGAAGCACCGGCUAACUACGUG
Molecule: ribosomal RNA, 468 nt
Filed under: uncultured bacterium
Lineage: Bacteria
Description: partial 16S ribosomal RNA
Rfam family: Bacterial small subunit ribosomal RNA
Source: RNAcentral